Long non-coding RNA from Helianthus annuus (common sunflower), 1163 nucleotides. RefSeq lists it as uncharacterized. The transcript is spliced from 3 exons. The record is from RefSeq and is a predicted model, not a curated record. Lineage: Eukaryota; Viridiplantae; Streptophyta; Magnoliopsida; Asterales; Asteraceae.
CUAAAGACCUUUAAACGGGUCAAGGUAACGGAUUCACCAAGAGUUCGAUAAUAUAUAAAAGCGAUGGAAAUCGCUAAGUUAACUAAACUAGUAGAAAUAACGGAAUUACGUUAUUUCAAAUUACAUUAUGUCGUAUGAGGUACGUAGAGGUUCUGUAACCAAAAAGAUAUUACCAAAAUUUUUCUGGUAAUACUAACAAUUGGUUAAAAUAUGAAUAAUGCUUAAGAGAUUACUCAGGUCAAACGCAUUGAGUUUAGAACUCAAUGAACUAUGUAAGCAAGGUUUCGAGGACGAAACCUCUUUAAGGGGGGUAGACUUGUAACACCCCGAAAACGGGCUUGGUAAUUAAACUCUGUUAAUACUAAAAGACGGGUAACGUACCGUUAUUAGUAAAAAUAACCCGGCAAAUAUUUGGAUUUAAAUAAGAAAUCCUAAUAUUAAAUAAAAACGAAUCAAAGUUUUAAGUAAUUAAGUUUAUAAAAGGCCCGAUUUAACGGGACUUAAAGUAAAAGGGGUUACGACUUCCCGAACCUACUAAGCUAACUAGGAAUAAUUCUAACCUAGUUAGAUAGUGACUUAUGAGUGGGUUAAAACACUUAAAUUAUGAACUAAGGAAAAUGAAGGGGCCAAAGAUGUUAAAAUCGAAACUUAUGUUGCUAAUUUAAUUAAAACAAAAACCAAACACCCCAUUUGGGGAUGUCUGGUCGUACAAAGAAGCAGGAGGCGAUGGGUUUCUUCAAACCCUAAAAUCCUUACUAAAACUCUCAAAUUGGAGGUGCAAAUCUGGUCCAAAACGAAAAUCGAGCAUAGAUUACUGAUCCCCAUUGCAAGGGGGUUGUAAGAUGGAGGCUUGGAAUGAAGCGGGUCAAACGGAGCAAGUACGAAAAGGAAAGCGUAAUUUGGAUGCGAGUCUUAGGUACUCAAGGAUUAUGGGUGACGAUCAAGCAACUUUUGAAGGACCGAACACAUACUCUUGAAGCUUCCGCAUAAAUCAACUCGGUUUAAACAAUGUUUAUGAUGUAAACUGUUUGCUAAACAACUUUUGAAAUGUUUAAACGACGUACUCAAUUAUGUUAUGUUGUAUUAUUUUAAAAUUGUAAAGUUUAAACAAACCCGUAUUUUUACAAAGUAUAUGUAGUCAUAAUUACAUGUUGUUUGUCGUA